GCUAAACGCGAAGAACCUUACCAGGGUUUGACAUCCUACUAAUUUCUCCGAAAGGAGAGAGUGUCUUCGGACCGUAGUGACAGGUGAUGCAUGGCCGUCGUCAGCUCGUGUCGUGAGAUGUUUGGUUAAGUCCAUCAACGAGCGCAACCCUUGUAACUAGUUGGAUUUUCUAGUUAGACUGCCCCGGUAACGGGGAGGAAGGAGGGGAUGAUGUCAGGUCAGUAUUUCCCUUACACCCUGGGCUAGAAACACGCUACAAUGGCCGGUACAAAGGGCAGCCAAGUCGCGAGACGGAGCAAAUCCUCAAAAAUAGUCCCAGUUCAGAUUGUGGGCUGCAACCCGCCCACAUGAAGUCGGAAUUGCUAGUAAUGGCAGGUCAGCAUACUGCCGUGAAUACGUUCCCGGGUCUUGUACACACCG
Molecule: ribosomal RNA, 420 nt
Filed under: uncultured bacterium
Lineage: Bacteria
Description: bacterial SSU rRNA
Rfam family: Bacterial small subunit ribosomal RNA
Source: RNAcentral